This 2733-nucleotide long non-coding RNA is filed under the name Mus musculus (house mouse). RNAcentral's name for it is "RIKEN cDNA 4930455J16 gene". Lineage: Eukaryota; Metazoa; Chordata; Mammalia; Rodentia; Muridae. The record is from RNAcentral.
AUUCCAUCCUCCGGGUGUUUGUCACAGUUCAGCAUCCAAGCUGAAUCUCUAGUUACCAUGGAUGGAGAUGACCUUUCCUGGCUAUGCUAGCCAGCUUUCUGACCUCAAAAAAAACACCAGCAUUUAAGGCCAAGAAUCUGAAUCUUUGAGUUUCCUUCCCCCACACCCAAUCCACCUGCUGAAGCCUAGUGACCAGCUGAACAGAACGGAGAGGUAGAAGAUUCAGGAGAUGGGUGUCACAGGUCCUGUCAGCUGGGUGGCCAGCUUAAGUUCUCCCUUCUUCGGAGCAGAAGGCUUCCUGGGGAAAAGUAUGUGCUUGAGGCGGUACUCCUUCAGGCACUGCACAUUGGCCUACAGUAAUUCAUUCAGUGGAUUUGUCGCCUCCUUGGGUCCACAGAGAUGCUGAAGGCAACCACAUACAGUGAUCUGGAACAAGAUGGGAGACGUUCUCAUGCUUUAUCUGGAUGCUAGUAUCAAGACAGCCAAGGAGCUGUGUGUGGCCCGUUCUACCAGGAGCAGUGAUAGUGUGUUAGCCCACAGUGUGAUCUCUGUAGAUAACAGCACGAUGCCUCCAGAUAAAAAGGCUAGACAUGCCCGUGGACUGAGGAAAAACGCCUGCACCUUAAACAGAACCCUGAAAUGAACAGGCUGCUGCAAUUGUGCCUUUGUCGGGGUGCUGCUCCAUCUGAAAGGUUUGCUCCUUGGCAACAAGGACCACUUCCAUCUGAAACAGCCUUGGUACCUUCCGUUUAUCUGAGACUUGCUCGGCACUUUCCAUCUAUCUGAGACUCACUGCCCUUCCUGGGGUUUGCAACCAUUUCAAAAUGUUUAAGAAACAUGGAUAGAACAUGAUUGACAUCCCACAGCAAAGUGGCUCCCAAUGAAGAUAACGGAUCUAAGCUCACGAACUCAAGCUGAACCCUCCCAGAAGGAGAGAUGGAAAGGUUUGACACAGACAUUCAUGCACAAGGAGCUACUGAUGCCUCCGAGAACAGGGACUUGUGAUCCUUUUUACGGACUGACACUCGAAAGCAGGAAGUGUGGGUGACUGUCAGAAAAGAUGGCUGCCAGCACAUAUUUGAUUCCCCCGAAGGUUAUCCCUAUGAGCUCAGAUUCAUUUGUCCCAUGAUUGCCAACUGGAUGUCCUCAUGUCCAUGGGGUCUGAGCAGGCCAUGAGAGACAGACACAUAUUCAAAACUGAGAACUGCCACCAUCUAUCCGUCCACCACCACGGGAAAAGCUUGCCGUGUAUCUCAACUGAGGGAGACUUAGUUAAGAUGGCCGAGAUUGCUUCUCCCAGGCUAGAGACACCUGGGAGAGGAUCCUGUGCCUUUGCAGAACAUUUUCCGGUGAAGAACGUGGGUACCGGCAAGACAACAGGGAAGUUUGCUCUCAUGCAUCAAACAUGAUAACGGAGCUAUGGACGGCAAAGGCGGGAGCACUGAAGACACAGUUUAGGAGCGAAAUGACGAGCUUGAUGUGGUGACCUAAGAGUGAUGCUCCGAAUCCAGAGUCUGUCUUCAAAACCCUGGCUCAGGCCUGAGCAGCCUAAGAAGUCACAGCACCUAAAGGCCACCAUUGCAGGAAGCUGCAACAGAAAGAGAGCAUUGGUUCCUGCUGUGACAGAUGCCCAAGCUUCCUGUGGAUAGCUGUGAAGUUAUUUACCCCAAAUCUAUUCAAAUGCAAACUGUUACCCCCUACCCCUCCACUCAUACCCUGUUAACCUUUUCUCUAUCCUAAACUAGCUCCUUCUGCCUCAACCGAGGUUUGUUCAAGGUUCUAAAUUCUUUGCCAUACAAAGCCCUAGCAUGGUAUUUUUUUCACACGGGCCUUCCACAAAUAUUUGCAGAAUGUUCACAAAACAUAACAUGAUUGUUCAGUCAACUGCACGUGUAGAUGCUGCAGUGUGAUGGAGAAGAAAGGUAGAUAGUCGUUCUGGUUCAGCUACACAGGGGCACAGCCUCAUAAGGGAAGCAAUGACCAGAAAAUCGCAAGGCAUCAAAACUCAAAGAGGGACUUUGACCCAGCUCUGCAUCUAACCUAUGAGCUCGGCUACCUACUCAAGCAGGUAUUUCAGACACCCAGAAAUCAAACCUCAGUGUGAUGUCACCUUUGGGGACUGGGACGCAUUUCUGGAUGUGACUAUUGGGGGAAAGAAUGUGUUUAAUUCAAAUACACCAUCGAGUCUGUCAUCCCUACCGUCUUACGUGACAAUUUUGAUAUGAAAGGGAGGGAGAAGGGAGGAAGGGGGAAGGUAGGACAACAUUUAGCUGAGGAAUCCUCACAGACACUAUUUCAGGGCUGGGGCCCACUGUCCAGUGGGCAGCCAGGCGGUGCCUCACAUCUUAGGUGGCCUUUAGGACAGGUUAAUCUGCCACCCAAACAGACUCUUCUCAGUUGAGGGAUCUGAAAAGCCAGGAGCUCUAUUCCAUCCUAAACAGGCUCUUCAGAGGACAGGAGAAGGCCACCUCAAUGUCGACCUGGGCUGGACCUUCAGUGACCAUGAGAAGAGGGUGCCGAGCUGAGCCUGGUACAAAGCUACCAGCCAAGAAGGACAGACUUCCUGAGGGCAGAAGAGAGGGACAGAGGGGCAGAGUUUCCAGUGUCUCAAAGCUUGGUCUGCUUUCACAUAAUAUUUUCCCCUCCAAUUAAACAUCCAUUUCUUUUCAAAGGAAACCUAAUUUAAACAAUGUGUUACUGUAAUUAAAUAAAGAACUCAGAGAUACAAACAGC